Ipomoea triloba (trilobed morning glory) is the source of this 1213-nucleotide RNA transcript. It is a transcript of the gene named ER lumen protein-retaining receptor-like, with no coding region annotated. The transcript has 7 exons. NCBI's taxonomy places the organism in Eukaryota, Viridiplantae, Streptophyta, Magnoliopsida, Solanales, Convolvulaceae. The record is from RefSeq and is a predicted model, not a curated record.
UUCUGUUUCUUCUUCGUUUUCCUUUUUGUAAAUAUUGUUAUCUGAAGCGUUUUAAUCUCGUGAUCCACCAAGCUCGUAUGAGGUUUUAGACUAAAUGAUUUUUGACAGAAAACGCUACGAUGAAUAUAUUCAGAUUUGCAGGGGACAUGACCCAUUUGGCCAGCGUCCUGGUUUUGCUUCUCAAGAUCCAUACCAUCAAAUCUUGCGCCGGAGUUUCUCUUAAGACACAAGAAUUGUACGCGAUUGUUUUUGCCACUCGCUACUUGGAUUUAUUCACGACCUUUAUCUCUAUUUACAAUACCACUUUGAAGUUGAUAUUCUUGGGAAGCUCCUUCUCGAUUGUGUGGUACAUUAGGCAUCACAAAACUGUUCGGAGAUCAUAUGAUAAACAGCACGACACUUUCCGCCACCUUUUCCUUGUUAUUCCAUGUCUGCUUUUGGCCCUCGUUAUAAAUGAUAAGUUUACCUUCAAAGAGGUCAUGUGGACGUUCUCUAUAUACUUGGAAGCUGUUGCCAUCCUGCCUCAGCUAGUCUUGUUGCAGAGGACUAGAAAUAUCGACAACUUGACCGGACAAUAUGUUUUCCUACUGGGUGCAUACCGUGCCUUCUACAUUCUGAACUGGAUUUAUCGCUACUUCACUGAGCCAUAUUACAUCCAUUCUUGGAUAACUUGGAUAUCGGGGCUUGUUCAGACACUGCUUUAUGCUGAUUUCUUCUAUUAUUACUUCCAAAGCUGGAAGAACAACUCAAAACUCGAGCUGCCAGCUUGAUCAUUGAGGAAAUGGUGCCUGCACUACUUGGAAGAGCAUCCAACAACUGCUAGCUUUUCUGGAGUGGCUUUUUCCCCCUUUUUUAUCCGGAGAAUGGAUAUAAACAUAUCAAACAGGUAGCAGUGGGUGCAGCAAUGAGCAAUCGCAAUCAUGCCCCAAAGGCAGUAAGUCGGCGGAACAUGAUUUUCGUACUUGAAAGUCACGAGUUCGAUUAUCGCUAGGAGUAUCCCCAUCAGUUAAUCGAGAUGUUGGGUGCUUGCAAGAGACCUUGAUUUUUGUCCACCAGAUCAGUAAACAUGCUCCCUGGUGCACGUUUUGCGCACCAAGAGUGCCCAGUUGGGUGUGCGGGCUCCACACGCCCGCUGGCGCAUUUUUCUACUGCAAUUUUUUCUUUUCUUCUUUCCAUUAUCUCUUAUGUUCUUUCUCUUAGUUAUAUCUACAAA